AGAGUUUGAUCCUGGCUCAGGAUGAACGCUAGCUACAGGCUUAACACAUGCAAGUCGAGGGGCAGCAUGGGAGUUGCUGCAAUUCCUGAUGGCGACCGGCGCACGGGUGAGUAACGCGUAUCCAACCUUCCCCUUAGUAGGGCAUAGCCCGGUGAAAAUCGGAUUAAUACCCUAUGUUCUUCACAGCAGACAUCUAACGUGAAGCAAAGGUUCACCGCUAAGGGAUGGGGAUGCGUCUGAUUAGGUAGUAGGCGGGGUAACGGCCCACCUAGCCUUCGAUCAGUAGGGGUUCUGAGAGGAAGGUCCCCCACAUUGGAACUGAGACACGGUCCAAACUCCUACGGGAGGCAGCAGUGAGGAAUAUUGGUCAAUGGGCGAGAGCCUGAACCAGCCAAGUAGCCGUGCAGGAUGACGGCCCUAUGGGUUGUAAACUGCUUUUAUAUGGGGAUAAAGUUCACCACGUGUGGUGUUUUGUAGGUACCAUAUGAAUAAGGACCGGCUAAUUCCGUGCCAGCCGCGGC
Molecule: ribosomal RNA, 521 nt
Filed under: uncultured bacterium
Lineage: Bacteria
Description: bacterial SSU rRNA
Rfam family: Bacterial small subunit ribosomal RNA
Source: RNAcentral